Molecule: long non-coding RNA, 1881 nt
Filed under: Homo sapiens (human)
Lineage: Eukaryota; Metazoa; Chordata; Mammalia; Primates; Hominidae
Description: HSALNT0378342
Source: RNAcentral
GGGAGCUUUAAAACCAUUUGUGACUGACACAUUAUUGCUUUCCAGGAAGUGGUAGGGAUGACAAAAAAGCAUAUUCCAACAGGGCUUUGGAGAGGAUAAAGUCCAAGAAGUACUGAAACCAAGAGUCACUUAAAUUUUUAAGAAUCUUCAUUUUAAAGAUAAGUAGUAGUCCACAUAGGAAUGCAUGGUAUUCAAUGAUGAUUUCCUACAUUUAUUCAAGGGAUAGGAACAUGCUAUUGUGAUCAGAAAGAAAAAUCAAACAAAAAGAAGAGGCCAAAGGAAAGGAUAUGGUCAGAAAAAAAAAUCAAACAAAAAGAAGAAGGUGAUAAAGGAAAACAGACGAUAGUGGUUCCUAUCAAGAUCUUAGAGAAAGAGAACAUUAAGGUGAUUGCAGAUGAGAGUGUAGGUGUAAGGACAGGAAACUGAGGUUAUAUACACAUGAUGUCUUCACAACUUCUCACAGAUAAAUUUCUUAUUAAUGUACUAGGUUUUAGAGUGAGAGUUCUGAAGACUUUGAUAAAAAUCUACCUUCUUAGAAGACUGGAAGUGUUGACCAGGACCACGUAAAGAUAUUGACAGAUGACAGUGAAGACACAGAUAGAAAAGAAACUUGUUCUGUGAUGCCAAUCCAUACAAAAAUAUACUUUUUUCUCAACUGGUUUUCUAUAUGAGAGAGAGAGAAAGUUAAAUUUUAGGAUCUCUUGAAGAUCAGAAAUUUUGAGAAAGAGAGAAUCAAUGAAAUUCAGAAUUUGGUGGAGUUGGUAAAAGAUUCAGAUGAUUAAAUGUUAGACAAGGCUAUCUAACAGUAAAUUAUUGUCCCAGUGAGAAAAAAGGGUGAUACCAAUCAGAAUGUGGUCAAGUAAAGUACCAGAAUUAUUGAUAUAAAAAAAAUUAAUGUGAGUGAUGAAGUGGAAUAUUAGUGAUUGUAGUCAAAGAACAAAGUUCAGAUUUUAGAGAUGGAGAAGCCAAUAGCCACUAUGGGGAAAGGGUUGGAAAAGAUUAGAAGUGGAGGCCAUUGGUUGAGACGCCUAUGGAACAGAUGAGGCUAGGCAGCUGUAUGUGUUAUCAUCAGGGAUGGAAAAAUCUCAGGAUAAUGACAGGAGUGGGGCGGAAAGAAAUCCUAUCAACCUGGAACCUAAGCAAUUUGAUGACUGAGAGGGGAUGACAUAGGUAUUAGGAUAUAACCGGGGAGCAGAUGUCAAAGUAGAUUGGUUAAAGUUGACUCCAAGGAAAUAAAAGCUAUUUAACAGGAGGGUAGAUAAAUAGGGCAUCAGUUUCCUAGAGUGGUGUUUCAGCUAUUAUUGUGUUGCUUAUUCUCUAGGGAGACAAAUUGGAGUGAUAUCCAACUAAUCAGAAGCUGGAUGUAGCUGAAGGACUUCUUGUUCUAAUUUAUCUGGCUGUGUCUUCACUGAGCGGAAGUAUGCUGACUGUUUUACAUGUGGUAGCUACAAAAAUCUCAUAAAAUGUAGAGCAGGAUGCCUAGAGGAAACUGAGGCUGAGAAAGAUGCAAUAACUUGCUGAAUAUCACAGAAACAAUACGUGAUUCAAAGACUCACAUACAGCCCUCUUCAUGAUUGCAGAAUCUCAACUUUCAACUAUACUGAUUCUCCACAAUGAUGCAUUUCUCGUUGAAGAAGAUAUGGUGGUUGAAGUUACAAGGACUCCUUGUUGUAACCAGGAGCCGAUCUUGAUCAAUGGAGCUACAUAAAGCAUGUUGAAAUGCAAAGAAAGAUAGAAGGAGCCUGUGGUACUGAAAACAUUGAGGAUUCUCUGAACCAGCCUUGGCUACCCCACCAUUUAACUUGAGAAAAAAUAUUUCUUUCCUCUUUAAGCUCUUCUUCUACCAAAUGUAUCAGGAAAUAAAAAUAUAUUAAAUUAAAA